AUUGAACGCUGGCGGCAUGCCUUACACAUGCAAGUCGAACGGUAACAGGUCUUCGGAUGCUGACGAGUGGCGAACGGGUGCGUAAUACAUCGGAACGUGCCCGAUCGUGGGGGUUAGCGAAGCGAAAGCUUUGCUAAUACCGCAUACGAUCUAAGGCUGACAGCAGGGGACAGCAAGGGCUUGCGCGAACGGGGCGGCCGAUGGCAGAUUAGGUAGUUGGUGGGAUAAAAGCUUACCAAGCCGCCGAUCUGUAGCUGGUCUGAGAGGACGACCAGCCACACUGGAACUGAGACACGGCCCAGACUCCUACGGGAGGCAGCAGUGGGGAAUUUUGGACAAUGGGCGAAAGCCUGAUCCAGUCAUGCCGCGUGCAGGAUGAAGGCCUUCGGGUUGUAAACUGCUUUUGUACGGAACGAAAAGACUCUGGUUAAUACCUGGGGUCCAUGACGGUACCGUAAGAAUAAGCACCGGCUAACUACGUG
Molecule: ribosomal RNA, 482 nt
Filed under: uncultured bacterium
Lineage: Bacteria
Description: partial 16S ribosomal RNA
Rfam family: Bacterial small subunit ribosomal RNA
Source: RNAcentral